GGUGGGGUGGCAGAGUGGUCGAAUGCGCCGGUCUUGAAAACCGGUAACGGCGUCAGUCGUUCAGGGGUUCGAAUCCCCUCCCCACCG
RNAcentral lists this transfer RNA (87 nucleotides) under Phycisphaeraceae bacterium. RNAcentral's name for it is "tRNA-Ser". It matches the Rfam family "tRNA". Rfam says of the family: Transfer RNA (tRNA) molecules are approximately 80 nucleotides in length. Their secondary structure includes four short double-helical elements and three loops (D, anti-codon, and T loops). The record is from RNAcentral. Lineage: Bacteria; Pseudomonadati; Planctomycetota; Phycisphaerae; Phycisphaerales; Phycisphaeraceae.